CCUACGGGAGGCAGCAGUGAGGAAUAUUGGUCAAUGGGCGCAAGCCUGAACCAGCCAAGUCGCGUGAAGGAAGACUGCCCUACGGGUUGUAAACUUCUUUUAUAAAGGAAUAAAGUGAUGCACGUGUGCCUUUUUGUAUGUACUUUAUGAAUAAGGAUCGGCUAACUCCGUGCCAGCAGCCGCGGUAAUACGGAGGAUCCGAGCGUUAUCCGGAUUUAUUGGGUUUAAGGGGAGCGUAGAUGGGUUGUUAAGUCAGUGGUGAAAGUUUGGGGCUCAACCGUAAAAUUGCAAUUGAUACUGGAAGACUUGAGUAUAGUUGAGGUAGGCGGAAUGCGUGGUGUAGCGGUGAAAUGCUUAGAUAUCACGCAGAACUCCGAUUGCGAAGGCAGCUUACUAAUCUGUAACUGACAUUGAUGCACGAAAGCGUGGGGAUCAAACAGGAUUAGAUACCCCAGUAGUC
RNAcentral lists this ribosomal RNA (460 nucleotides) under uncultured bacterium. RNAcentral's name for it is "partial 16S ribosomal RNA". It matches the Rfam family "Bacterial small subunit ribosomal RNA", at positions 338 to 795 of the family's 1533-position model. The record is from RNAcentral.